GACGAACGCUGGCGGCGUGCCUAACACAUGCAAGUCGAACGGAAAGGCCCUGCUUUUGUGGGGUGCUCGAUUGGCGAAGGGGUGAGUAACACGUGAGUAACCUGUCCCUGACUUUGGGAUAACUUCAGGAAACUGGGGCUAUUACCGGAUAGGAUCUCUUGCUGCACGGUGGGCGUUGGUAAGUUUCGGUGGUUGGGGAUGGACUCGCUGCGUAUCAGCUUGAUGGUGGGGUGGUGGCUUACCAAGGCUUUCACGGGUAGGGGGCCUGGGAGGGUGACAGGCGAAAUUGGGACUGCGAUACGACCCAGACUGCAACGGGAGGCAACGGGGGGGAGUAUUACACAGUGGGCGGGAGUCAGAUGCGACAACGCCGCGUGCGGGAUGAGGGCCUUCGGGUUGUAAACCGCUUUCGCAUGAGACGAGGCGAGAGUGACGGUAAUGGGUAAAGAAGCACCGGCUAACUACGUG
RNAcentral lists this ribosomal RNA (468 nucleotides) under uncultured bacterium. RNAcentral's name for it is "partial 16S ribosomal RNA". It matches the Rfam family "Bacterial small subunit ribosomal RNA", at positions 28 to 507 of the family's 1533-position model. The record is from RNAcentral.